UCAUGUCUCUUGUUUUGUUUACU
RNAcentral lists this microRNA (23 nucleotides) under Macaca fascicularis (crab-eating macaque). Its description in RNAcentral is "novel_miR106-5p". The record is from RNAcentral. Lineage: Eukaryota; Metazoa; Chordata; Mammalia; Primates; Cercopithecidae.